AGACAUGCAAGUCGAACGCUAAUUAGAGGGUAGCAAUAUUCUCUAGUUGGAGUGGCGCAAGGGUGCGUAACACGUGGGUAAUCUGCCAUGAAGACUGGGAUAACUCGCUGAAAGGCGAGCUAAUACCGGGUAAGACUGUUGGGAGGCAUCUCCUGGCAUUGGAAGCUGGGGACCCGAAAGGGCCUGGCGCUUCAUGAUGAGCCCGCGGCCUAUCAGCUAGUUGGUAAGGUAACGGCUUACCAAGGCUAAGACGGGUAGCUGGUCUGAGAGGACGACCAGCCACACUGGAACUGAGACACGGUCCAGACACCUACGGGUGGCAGCAGUCGAGAAUUUUUCACAAUGGGCGCAAGCCUGAUGGAGCGACGCCGCGUGGGGGAUGAAGGGUUUCGAUCCGUAAACCCCUGUCAUUUGCGAACAAACCUUGAUGAAUAACACUUAUCAAGCUGAUUGUAGCGGAAGAGGAAGGGACGGCUAACUCUGUGCCAGCAGCCGCGGUAAUACAAAGGUCCCAAGCGUUGUUCGGAUUCACUGGGCGUAAAGGGUGCGUAGGUGGCCAGGUAAGUUUGGUGUGAAAGCUCGGAGCUUAACUCCGAAAAGUCAUUGAAUACUAUCUGGCUGGAGGGUCGGAAGGGAGACUGGAAUUCUCGGUGUAGCAGUGAAAUGCGUAGAUAUCGAGAGGAACACCAGUGGCGAAGGCGAGUCUCUGGACGACACCUGACACUGAGGCACGAAAGCUAGGGGAGCAAACAGGAUUAGAUACCCUGGUAGUCCUAGCUGUAAACGGUGCACGUUUGCUGUAAGAGGAAUCGACCCCUUUUGUGGCGAAGCUAACGCGCUAAACGUGCCGCCUGGGGAGUACGGUC
Molecule: ribosomal RNA, 866 nt
Filed under: uncultured bacterium
Lineage: Bacteria
Description: bacterial SSU rRNA
Rfam family: Bacterial small subunit ribosomal RNA
Source: RNAcentral